AUCAUGGCUCAGAUUGAACGCUGGCGGCAUGCCUUACACAUGCAAGUCGAACGGCAGCACGGGAGCUUGCUCCUGGUGGCGAGUAGCGAACGGGUGAGUAAUACAUCGGAACGUACCCUGAAGUGGGGGAUAACGUAGCAAAAGUUACGCUAAUACCGCAUAUUCUGUGAGCAGGAAAGAGGGGGGAUCGCAAGACCUCUUGCUUUAGGAGCGGCCGAUGUCGGAUUAGCUAGUUGGUGAGGUAAAGGCUCACCAAGGCGACGAUCCGUAGCGGGUCUGAGAGGAUGAUCCGCCACACUGGGACUGAGACACGGCCCAGACUCCUACGGGAGGCAGCAGUGGGGAAUUUUGGACAAUGGGCGCAAGCCUGAUCCAGCCAUGCCGCGUGAGUGAAGAAGGCCUUCGGGUUGUAAAGCUCUUUCGGUGGGGAAGAAAUUGCACAGGAUAAUACCUUGUGUAGAUGACGGUACCCGCAUAAGAAGCACCGGCUAACUACGUG
Molecule: ribosomal RNA, 499 nt
Filed under: uncultured bacterium
Lineage: Bacteria
Description: bacterial SSU rRNA
Rfam family: Bacterial small subunit ribosomal RNA
Source: RNAcentral